This 383-nucleotide long non-coding RNA is filed under the name Hordeum vulgare. RNAcentral describes it as "long non-coding RNA (HVUL_LNC004180)". The record is from RNAcentral. Lineage: Eukaryota; Viridiplantae; Streptophyta; Magnoliopsida; Poales; Poaceae.
AUUUCUAUGUGGCUUGUGGUAAUUUGUGAUGGACUAGUUGGAGCACCCCUGCAGGGUUAAAUCUUUCGGAAAGUCGUGCCCGUGGUUAUGUGGCAACGUGGAAACUUUGUGUAACACUGGUUCUAGAUAUCUUGAAGUUAACUUAAUUAAAACAUGCCAACUGAGUGCGUAACCGUGACUGUCUCUUGCGUGCGUUCCUUCUCCGAUAGAGGACACGGUGGGGUUAUGUCUGACGUAGGUAGGUGUUCAGGAUCAUUCAUUUGAUCAUCAGUAGUCAUGUCCGCUAUGCGUAGAUCUUCACCCUCUUAUUUCUUGUACUCGUAAGUUUAGCCACCAAAUAUAUGCUUAGCCGCUAUUGUAACCUCACCACUUAACCAUACCUC